This 432-nucleotide ribosomal RNA is filed under the name uncultured bacterium. RNAcentral's name for it is "partial 16S ribosomal RNA". It matches the Rfam family "Bacterial small subunit ribosomal RNA", at positions 29 to 506 of the family's 1533-position model. The record is from RNAcentral.
AGCGAACGCUGGCGGCAGGCUUAACACAUGCAAGUCGAGCGGGCACUUCGGUGUCAGCGGCAGACGGGUGAGUAACACGUGGGAACGUACCCUUCGGUUCGGAAUAACGCUGGGAAACUAGCGCUAAUACCGGAUACGCCCUUUUGGGGAAAGGUUUACUGCCGAAGGAUCGGCCCGCGUCUGAUUAGCUAGUUGGUGGGGUAAUGGCCUACCAAGGCGACGAUCAGUAGCUGGUCUGAGAGGAUGAUCAGCCACACUGGGACUGAGACACGGCCCAGACUCCUACGGGAGGCAGCAGUGGGGAAUAUUGGACAAUGGGCGCAAGCCUGAUCCAGCCAUGCCGCGUGAGUGAUGAAGGCCUUAGGGUUGUAAAGCUCUUUUGUCCGGGACGAUAAUGACGGUACCGGAAGAAUAAGCCCCGGCUAACUUCGU